Molecule: ribosomal RNA, 433 nt
Filed under: uncultured bacterium
Lineage: Bacteria
Description: partial 16S ribosomal RNA
Rfam family: Bacterial small subunit ribosomal RNA
Source: RNAcentral
AACGAACGCUGGCGGCAUGCCUAACACAUGCAAGUCGAACGAGACCUUCGGGUCUAGUGGCGCACGGGUGCGUAACGCGUGGGAACCUGCCCUUAGGUUCGGAAUAACUCCCCGAAAGGGGUGCUAAUACCGGAUAAUGUCUUCGGACCAAAGAUUUAUGGCCUUUGGAUGGGCCCGCGUUGGAUUCGCUAGUUGGUAGGGUACAAGCCUACCAAGGCGACGAUCCAUAGCUGGUCUGAGAGGAUGAUCAGCCACACUGGGACUGAGGCACGGCCCAGACUCCUACGGAAGGCAGCAGUGGGGAAUAUUGGACAAUGGGCGAAAGCCUGAUCCAGCAAUGCCGGGUGAGUGAUGAAGGCCUUAGGGUUGUAAAGCUCUUUUACCCGGGAUGAUAAUGACAGUACCGGGAGAAUAAGCUCCGGCUAACUCCGUG